The sequence is a small nuclear RNA, 127 nucleotides long. It matches the Rfam family "U4atac minor spliceosomal RNA". From Rfam's summary of the family: U4atac is an essential component of the minor U12-type spliceosome complex which is required for removal of the rarer class of eukaryotic introns (AT-AC, U12-type). The record is from Rfam.
UUUGUCCUUGUCUUUGGGGAGCAAAGUAUUCCAUGAGCGUUAAGUGAGAAUACUGUUGCUGAAACCUGACAAAUUAAUUUAACCCGCAUCCGUAUUUUAAACGACACGAGAUGCAAUUUUUGAGAAG